UAGGGAAUAUUGUGCAAUGGGCGAAAGCCUGACGCAGCGACGCCGCGUGGGUGAUGAAGGCCUUCGGGUCGUAAAGCCCUGUCGAGGGGGACGAACCGGUUGCGACCUAAUACGUCGCGACCCUGACGGUACCCCUAAAGGAAGCACCGGCUAACUCCGUGCCAGCAGCCGCGGUAAUACGGGGGGGGCAAGCGUUGUUCGGAUUUAUUGGGUUUAAAGGGUGCGUAGGCGGCCUAUUAAGUCAGUUCUGAAAUAUCCCGGCUUAACCGGGAGGGUGGGAUUGAUACUGAUGGGCUUGAGUGGAAUCGAGGUAGGCGGAAUUGACGGUGUAGCGGUGAAAUGCUUAGAUAUCGUCAAGAACACCGAUAGUGUAGACAGCUUACUAGACUUCAACUGACGCUGAGGCACGAAAGUGUGGGGAUCAAA
This 426-nucleotide ribosomal RNA is filed under the name uncultured bacterium. RNAcentral's name for it is "bacterial SSU rRNA". It matches the Rfam family "Bacterial small subunit ribosomal RNA", at positions 355 to 772 of the family's 1533-position model. The record is from RNAcentral.